Molecule: ribosomal RNA, 492 nt
Filed under: uncultured bacterium
Lineage: Bacteria
Description: partial 16S ribosomal RNA
Rfam family: Bacterial small subunit ribosomal RNA
Source: RNAcentral
AGUGAACGCUGGCGGUAGGCCUAACACAUGCCAGUCGAACGGCAGCACAGUAAGAGCUUGCUCUUACGGGUGGCGAGUGGCGGACGGGUGAGGAAUACAUCGGAAUCUACUUUUUCGUGGGGGAUAACGUAGGGAAACUUACGCUAAUACCGCAUACGACCUACGGGUGAAAGCAGGGGAUCUUCGGACCUUGCGCGAUUGAAUGAGCCGAUGUCGGAUUAGCUAGUUGGCGGGGUAAAGGCCCACCAAGGCGACGAUCCGUAGCUGGUCUGAGAGGAUGAUCAGCCACACUGGAACUGAGACAUGGUCCAGACUCCUACGGGAGGCAGCAGUGGGGAAUAUUGGACAAUGGGCGCAAGCCUGAUCCAGCCAUACCGCGUGGGUGAAGAAGGCCUUCGGGUUGUAAAGCCCUUUUGUUGGGAAAGAAAAGCAGCAGGUUAAUACCCCGCUGUUCUGACGGUACCCAAAGAAUAAGCACCGGCUAACUUCGUG